Molecule: long non-coding RNA, 995 nt
Organism: Anolis carolinensis (green anole)
Lineage: Eukaryota; Metazoa; Chordata; Lepidosauria; Squamata; Anolidae
Exons: 3
Source: RefSeq, a predicted model, not a curated record
GUAUGAGCUUUUAUUAUUCAAUCCUUUUUCACACAUUUUAGCUUUGUAUUAUAUUUCCUACAACCAUUUCUGAAGCAUAUGCUGACAGACAGGAGAACUAAUGUUGAUCGAUAUAUAUAUUUAUUGUAUGCAUAUAGACACAUUUCCCUUCCAGUAGAAAAAUACCAUUAAAAUUGUGUGUCACAUUCUUCAGUAAACAUUUUUAACCAGACAUGGAAAGCAGUUAUUAUAUUUGAGUACCACCUUGUGGAUUAGCCCAGUAUUACAUGGGCGUUUUAUUGUAAAGCCAACAACUAAAGUUGUUAACAAUAAUCUACCUUUUGUGUGGCUUUCAAAAUGUGAAAAGUUUCCUGGCAAGUGUAGCCACUACGGUUUUAGAAGGAAAAGCAGGCAAGGCAGGUUGUGCGUUUGCUUUCUGAAAUGGUGUUCACAACCACAAGGAGUUUCGCUUUAGGACCCAAGCACACUUAACUGUGAAUUGCAUUACAGUCUUAAGAGAUAUCAUCUAGGGACAGAACAAUGCCAUGCAUAGACGCUCUCGGGACUGAAACAUGAACACCCACUACCUCAAUGGAAUUAGCUAACAGUAAGUCCUGAUGGCUCUUGUAGUUUGUUGUUGCUCAAAUGCAUGGUUUAAAAGGGAGGUUUGUGCUGUUUACUAUUGGGAACAUCCAGAGGCAUUUGAAUAUUUUAUUAUUGUUGUUGUUGUUGUUGUUAUUUAUACCCCACGUUUUCUCUCCACAAAGAGAGCAAAGAGGCUUUCAUAAAAAGCAUUUCAAUACAGUUUAAAAUCUACAAAUAUACAAACAUUAAAACAGAAUUAAAUAUCAUUGCUUUUUAAAAAUUCAGUUAAAAUCCGUAAAAACAUAUUCAAAACUAAAAACUAUUUCUGGAUUAACACCCACCCUCCAACAAAACAGAACACUUACCUCUAUUGGCAGCCAACUGUGAUUUAAGUUUUGCAGUGAUGUUUGUUAGAAAUGUGAUUUUUUCCU